RNAcentral lists this long non-coding RNA (1376 nucleotides) under Oncorhynchus mykiss (rainbow trout). RNAcentral's name for it is "lncRNA (ENSOMYG00000049073.1)". Lineage: Eukaryota; Metazoa; Chordata; Actinopteri; Salmoniformes; Salmonidae. The record is from RNAcentral.
AACACGCACACACAUUUGAAUUUACUGGUCUAGAAUUGGGAUGGGCAACUGGCGGCCAAAGGCCCCCCUUUUAUAGGCUCGUGGAUACAUUUCUGAAGGCAAAAAAAAGUAUAUUGAGAGUGUAAUUUCAAAAUUUGGUUGUGCAUCAGAAGUCACUAACAGUCACUUAAUUAGCAUGUCAGCAAACAUUGUUUAGAUUGGUAUGUUAGUCUAGCAGCCACCUAUCUAAACUUGUAGAAAUCAUGGUCGAUUUACCGACCGGGGGGCCCCCAUUGAUUUUAUUAGUCACUCUCAGUCAGAUAUCAUAUUAAAAACAGUUAUCUCUGCCCCAUGGCAAAAUGGGCAGGAAAUUUGUUAUAAAAUUGCAAAAUCUUCUCUCCGACCCCACGGCAAAAUGUGUAGAAUGGAUGGGGGCAGACAAACUAAAUUUCGCUUAGGCCCCCGAAAAGGCUAGGGCCGGCUGUAUGUGUGGGUAAGGAUGUGGGUACGCAGAACUGCGAGCAACUGACGCCUCCCAUGAUGAGUUUAGAUUUUUUUUAUAGCCCCCACCCCCAUAAAAGUUGCCCGUCACUGGUCUAGAAUGUAUCUUUUACCUCGUGCAGUGUGGAAAGUUGUGCCACUGAAUGGUUUAGAGCUUGCACUAUCGGUACAGUAGAUCAGAAAGCGGUUUCUUAAAACAGUGAAACUGGUCACCCAAAUCUUUCUUGUGUGUAAACAGCACAGACCCAACUCUUUCUUGUGUGUAAACAGCACAGACCCAAAUCUUUCUUGUGUCUAAACAGCACAGACCCAAAUCUUUCUUGUGUGUAAACAGCACAGACCCAAAUCUUGCCUGGAGAACCUCAUUGCUGAACUGCCUGACCUUUUACUACUGCAAACAUACCCUAUCUCCAUUUCUAGGAGAAGAUACAUUUUAAAUGGCUGAAACUAUUGGUGUCUUUUCAGACUGAAAAUGGGGGGUCUUCAAUCAAGCCAGAGAGAAGGCCUCGUACAGCAUCAAACCCAAACAGUCUUCUGGAAUAAAAGCCAAACUGGGUCAGUAGAUCUGAGCCAAUGGACUGGUCUUAUCCAGGAUAAGUUUGCACAAGUGAGAUCAACACAAGCUUUUUAGCUAUUGUAUUGUGUUUAAAAAUAUAUUUACUGUGUUAUUUUCUUUUUUAAUUGUUUCUUUCAGUCACCUAACUGAGUAUAUGUAUGCCUGACAGGUUGUCACCUUGUUGGAAAGUGUGAUAUUAACACAGUACCACACUUUGCCGUAAUCUGUCAAUGAUAAAUUUCCCCUAGUUUCAAACAGCGCAUUCUGCUGUCCAAAGUAAGAAUGUAGAUUUAAUUAAAGAGCUAAUAAUUUUUGGACAGGUGCCAUUGUAAAGAGAAAU